Long non-coding RNA from Bombina bombina (fire-bellied toad), 2056 nucleotides. RefSeq lists it as uncharacterized. The record is from RefSeq and is a predicted model, not a curated record. NCBI's taxonomy places the organism in Eukaryota, Metazoa, Chordata, Amphibia, Anura, Bombinatoridae. The transcript is spliced from 4 exons.
GAUACUAAGAUAAGGUGUGCGCACGCAGAAGUGCACGACAUAGAUGGAACAGUGAAUAUGACCCCUGCAGCUGACAGGCUUUCCUCCUGAGCACUCACAUCGUGUGAUGUGCUGUCUGUAGCGGAAAUGCAGAAAACCAGGUGUCACACAAUAUUACAGGGCUGAAAACAUCUCCUAGAAACAGCAGCAUAGGAACUGAUGAAAACAGUAGCGGACCUACUCAACAGAGGGCCCAGGUGCAAUUGUUUUAUGGUUCCCCAAAGAUUUGAAAAAGCAAAAUAAACUGUGGAUCAUGUACCCAGUUCCCUCCUAAACGGUUUUAGGACAGCAUCUUAGAAGUGGAGCUGUCAAGAAAGAAGAGGACAAAUAAGGUUCCUCAUUGACACCAAAGUUCUACAGAUUGGUGCAAAUACAGGACCAGCCUAUGCACAUAAGAGAGCAGGGCAGCAGAAUAGGAUGGAGGAGGGAGAUGGCAGUUUCAGGAGUAGAGGGCCCAGCAACUUCAUUUGAAAAUGAGAAAGGCAGAAGGGCAGCAAGGAUAUGGAUUGUAGGGCACACUUACAUACAUUGAGGAGCAUUCAAGAGAGCAAAGGUAGUAGCAGGCCAGGAGCUGGGGUUCCCUACUAGCAAGGCAACAGUCAGGUGGAUAGGAAGGAGAGUAAUGAGAUGAGAACAAUUCUCGCAAGUCAUUAAUAAGGCAGCAGCAAGGUCCCCUGAGGUAAUGGUAAUUCAUUGGGAGGUAACAAUAUAGACUAUUGGCAGAACGUGGAUUUGAUAGCAGCAUCAGGUGUCUUGUUUCCUAAUGGAAGCAUCUCAGGGCAGUAUGGUCACCUAAAAUUACAUUGGAGGGGAAAAGAGCUCAGAGAGGCAGAUAGAGAACUAGGAAGUGGAUAAAUAGUGCAGUUGCUCAGUACAUUUACACACUGGCAGCAGCAAGUACAAAUUAAGUAGUAAAACAUGAUAGGAUAAAAGCAGACUUAGAAGAAUAUUACAGGCACACAAAGUGCACCUGUCAGAAGCUGGCAUAUACAGGUUGGGACCGAAAAGUGUACAGGGCUUGGUUAGAAAUUCAGGCAAGCGACCAGUAUGGUUUAAGUUGUUGCUGCAUUGGUAAAUUACUGUUUUUUAGUUUGGGGUCUCAUUGCCUUUAAGUCUAAUUGCAAUUGGUAACAGAGACCUUUUAAUUUUGCCUCUAACUUUGUCUCUUUAUCUGAUGAGUUGAAACUAAUGACUGGGUUAGAGUAGUAAUGUAAGGAAAGGUAACAUGGGAGUACUCACUACAAAUUGUCUGUAAAAGACUUAAUAAUGUGAAGUGCCUAAUUGCAUACAUAGCAUAAUAAAUAUAUGAAACAGGAGGAAGUGGGUGAUUGUCGGCAGCCCCCACCUCCUUCCCCUCCUGAAUACCUGGGAGGCAGCAGGGGAGGGGGUGGAGCUGCAGACAAUAGUGGGUGAAUAAUAGAGUGGUAGAAAGACUAUAAGUGCUUAACUUACAGGAACAGACAGAUUACUUUUUUUUUUUUUUUUUUUUUCCUCUUCCACCCAUCCCAUUAAUGUUGGUGCUAAGGAUUUUCAUUUUCUUUUGCAGAUAGUCAUCUAAAACAUGAUGGUCAUAGAGCGGCAACGAGUCCUAUAGGAAAUAACAACCAAUGGAAUAGUAGGUGCACUGUGAGAGAGAUUUGCCUAGGUUUAAAUCAUGAGCUAUAGCCACAUAGCAGGGUACCUAACACGGUAGCUGUAGCAGGGUCAGAUAGAACCCCCCCCCCCCCCCCAGUGGUGGUAAUUGGUUGCUAAUUUGUGUGCAGGUUGGGACUGAGGAGUGCACAGGGUGGAAAUUAAGACCAGCAAACCUUAUGGGUGAACUUGAACUUUCCACAUGCACAAUGAGUAGUCAAUUUGGGACCUGUCGACAAACUUGGUGGGAGGAGUGUGGGCCCCUAAUUAUAGUUAUAUAGUUGCUGUAUUGAUCAAUUACUGGGUUUUUAAGUUAGGAGAAUCAUUGCUUUUAAAUAUAAUUGCAAUUGAUUAAAUAAAGUUACCUUUUAAUUUUGCCACCAAA